Molecule: long non-coding RNA, 1457 nt
Filed under: Mus musculus (house mouse)
Lineage: Eukaryota; Metazoa; Chordata; Mammalia; Rodentia; Muridae
Description: long non-coding RNA chr1:173631855-173633312
Source: RNAcentral
GACUUGGAUAGAAGCUCUUAAUUGAUUUCAAAGUUCUGUGAACAUUAGACCAGGCUCACUAAGUUUAUUAAUUAUUGUAGCUAAACUUUCUAAAUCACUGCAAAAGAUUUUACUUAUUUUUAACAAUCAAGGGAUGUACUUCUUUUUUAUUUAUUUUUAUUUUUAUUUUAUUUUAUUAUAUUUCAAAUGUUAUCCACCUUCCCAGUUUCCCCUCUUCAAACCUACUAUCUCAUCCCCUCUUCCUCUGCCUCUAUGAGGGUACUCCCUCACACACCCAACCACUCCUGCCUGCCUGCCCUGCCAUUCCCCAACACUGGGGCAUUGGGCCUUCACAGGACCAAGAACCACCCCUCCCACUGAUACCAAAUAAGGCCAUCCUCUGCUACAUUUGCAGCUGGAGCCAUGGUUCCCUUCAUGUAUACUCUUUGGUUGGUGGUUUAGUCCCUGAGAGCUCUGGGGGUUCUGUUUGGUUGAUAUUGUUGUUCUUCCCAUGGGAUGGCAAACCCCUUUAGCUCCUUCAGUCCUUCCCUAACUCCUCCAUUGGGGUCCCAUUGUUCAGUCUGGUGGUUGGCUGUGAGCAUCUGCAAUCUGUAUUAGUCAGGCAGAGCCUCCAUAGAGAUGUACUUCUAAAUGUACCAUGAUAUUCUGAUCUUUCUAUUAUUAUUAUAAGCAAGCCAGCUCAUUCAGUCAACAAUGUCUCAAGGGAGGGAGGAUUAAAAAGAAAAAGACAAUUAGACAUUAUAACAUGACUCCAGACAGCGCUGACACUAAAGCAGGUUUAUUUUUUCCCAGUCAGCUUUUAUACCUUCUAGGUCCUUGCAGAGAACAGGGUCAAUUUUUAAAUCAAAGUAAUCAAGAAAGGCUAUGAACAAAGAGAUCACACCAGGUAGGAAUCAGCCAAAGCAAUAAACAAAGUAUCCUGAGUCAUCAUUUCUAGGGAUUACCAAGACAAAAGCAAAGUCACACCUUCCUUGACUGUAUUUGCCUCAAUCCUAGCAUCAGCCCAAAUGCAAUGCUGUUACUGAUCCUACUGAGCCCAGUGACAAGUACUGGCCAAAUUUCUAUAAACAGCACCAAAAGCUCUCCACCUUAUUAGAUAAAUCAACUAUUUGUAGGAAUGUUAUCAUUUUGUAGUAUUUUAAAUCAACUUAAAUAUAAUAUAGAUGAAAUGACUUUUUUUUAGUUACAAUAUGAAAUGGUUUGGUUUAAAAAUUCCCCUUAUUAUUUAAUAAGGUUUAUUAAUAACAUAUGGCUAUGUAUAUCAAUUUGUAUUAUAUUAUAUUUUUAUUAUUUAAAAUAAUUUUAAAUUUAAAUAUAUUUUUACAAUUCUUCCACUCCCCAAAUUUUUUCAUAUCCUCUGACCCUCUCUACCUACCCAACUUUAAGUUCUUCCUCAAAAUAAAACCAAAAAACUUAUAGCAAAACCCCCAAAACAAGAAAAUAAAAUAAAAUUACAC